Trichobilharzia regenti is the source of this 46-nucleotide non-coding RNA. NCBI's taxonomy places the organism in Eukaryota, Metazoa, Platyhelminthes, Trematoda, Strigeidida, Schistosomatidae. The record is from Rfam.
GUACUGAUGAAGAGUUCCAAACUAGGACGAAACAGAUGUCCAGUAC